CGAUCAUAUUUACACUUAUAGAGCUGUUUUCGCCUAUUCCCAUCAUGUAAAUCGCAUGAACUGUUGUUCAUUGUUCAGCAUUAUUGUUCUUGCUACUAUAUUGCUAAUGUAUAUUGUCUGAGCUUCGUUU
This is a long non-coding RNA of Cucurbita maxima (winter squash), 130 nucleotides long. RefSeq lists it as uncharacterized. Lineage: Eukaryota; Viridiplantae; Streptophyta; Magnoliopsida; Cucurbitales; Cucurbitaceae. The record is from RefSeq and is a predicted model, not a curated record. The transcript has 2 exons.